Molecule: ribosomal RNA, 503 nt
Filed under: uncultured bacterium
Lineage: Bacteria
Description: partial 16S ribosomal RNA
Rfam family: Bacterial small subunit ribosomal RNA
Source: RNAcentral
AUUGAACGCUGGCGGCAGGCUUAACACAUGCAAGUCGAGCGGGGUGAUGGUGCUUGCACUAUCACUUAGCGGCGGACGGGUGAGUAAUGCUUAGGAAUCUGCCUAUUAGUGGGGGACAACAUCUCGAAAGGGAUGCUAAUACCGCAUACGUCCUACGGGAGAAAGCAGGGGAUCACUUGUGACCUUGCGCUAAUAGAUGAGCCUAAGUCGGAUUAGCUAGUUGGUGGGGUAAAGGCCUACCAAGGCGACGAUCUGUAGCGGGUCUGAGAGGAUGAUCCGCCACAUUGGGACUGGGACACGGCCCAGACUCCUACGGGAGGCAGCAGUGGGGAAUAUUGGACAAUGGGGGGAACCCUGAUCCAGCCAUGCCGGGUGUGUGAAGAAGGCCUUAUGGUUGUAAAGCACUUUAAGCGAGGAGGAGGCUCUUUUGGUUAAUACCCAAGAUGAGUGGACGUUACUCGCAGAAGAAGCACCGGCUAACUCCGUGCCAGCAGCCGCCGUAA